Non-coding RNA from Phalacrocorax carbo (great cormorant), 3251 nucleotides. The record is from RefSeq and is a predicted model, not a curated record. NCBI's taxonomy places the organism in Eukaryota, Metazoa, Chordata, Aves, Suliformes, Phalacrocoracidae.
UUUGACUCCAUUUCCAGUUCUUUUUCCAGGCCCUGCUUUUUUGUUGCGAACAAAAGAAGAUUGACCUGAGCAAUAAAGGGGCUGAUAUUUCCAGAGGAGGGCUUUACCAUACCAGGCACCCUCCAGAGCCUUCCCGUUUCCUCUCUAGAAGAAUCCAGUGUGAGAAUCCCACUAGUGUUUUGCUGGACCUGAGUGGGCAGGAACAUCUUUGCUGGACGUUUCAGUAUCUCUUAGAAGAUCUGCAAAACAGAACAGGCCUUCAGACAGCCACAGCACCCAGUGCUGGAUUGUCAGGGAUGGGAAUGCAGGGGCGAAGGCUUAAUGAAGAGUGAUGAUAUGAUACUGUGGUUUUGUUUAUCAUUUUAAAAACAACUUGGGAAAAUGCUGCAAAUUGGAACAUUAGCUUCAGCCUGUGGUCUUGCCGUGACAACAUCGGACAGGUUGGCCAGAGAUUUUCAAAGGUUUUGAUUGAUACCUUUUCCUUGCAUUUUGGUAAAAAUAUCAUGUUUUCGCAUUUCCUGCUUGGGCUUUUUGUUAUUUCUAAUGGGUGAAUCUGUAUCUGUUUCAGCGCCUGCCUUUUCUUCCUUAUCCUGUUAAUUAAUAAAUCCAGGCUGGUUUUGCUGAGAGCUGUAACACUUGCUCCUGCUGGUGGGCAAGGCAUUCCAUUAAUCCAAAAUGUGAUGCCAACUAAAAGUCCACCUGCCUGUGGUCCUUCAAAAUCCCUCAGUGAUUUUGUAAACCAGAUGAUAAGACCAGGGAAGUAUUUGCCAAACUCAGAUUUAGUCUGUGGUGCAGUUGUAGCUGGAUGAAGUGUUGAAGUACAAGUUGGCCCAUGUAAUUUCCUGGUAAGGCUGCCCUGUCCCUUCUGAGGAAUUACAGGAACACCUCAGAAAAUGGAAAAUUAAUUUCCAACCUUUUUUUGAAAUACUGAAAUUCCUUCUAUAGGUUAUUGUCUUGUCAUUUCAUUGAGUUAUUUUAGCUUUUUUCUUUUGUUUCACUUGCAUUUGUCACCAAAACUGCCCCCUCAGUUACCUUCUUUUUAACUGCCUUGAGAGUAUGGUGCAGUCCAGAAGUGGAUGGGAGCAGCAAGAGAUGGGAGGGCUACAUGGUGAAGCAGGUUGCAGGGCAGAAUUCCUGUUAGCUGGGCGCCACGGACUAGGUCGCAGGCUAGGUAGUGGACAGAAAGAGGGAGACCUGGCCAUGGAGUCAUGCUGUGCAAACAUAAGAGGAAUAGCUACAGCUGUUGGAGAGCAGAAUGAAAAAGGCGUUUGUGAGAGCAUCACACUUGACUGGUUGGAUAAAAAAAACAUUUCUUCUCUCUAGAUUCAGUACAGAUAUUUCUUGAGUAGAAGUCCAGAGAGAGCUGAGGAAAUCUUCAGACAGUUUGCUGGCCUACAUUGUCCAACACUUGUUUUUAACUGAACCAUCACAUGUAUCUUAAAAUAUUUUUCACAGCUUUUCCUGAGGCUCAAUUGCUUGGGCGUAAACAGUGGUGAUUCUUAAAGCAAUUGCAUACAUUCAUUUUCCCUGAACCCGCUGGCCCCUGUUUUGACUGCAUAAGCAUUUGCAAAGCCUUGCUGGCAUACGUUAACUCUUGUUCAAUAACUUGUGAGCAGGUACUCGUACAGAUUUGCAGGGGAAAGCCAGGCAGCAGAGUGCUUGGAAGAGUAACCUGUGCAACAGUGUUACUCUCGAACAAGGCUUUGACCCUUCCAUCUGAUGGACUUCACCUCUCAUGAACCUCAACCACCCCAUACAAGUCCUGGCUGUCAUCUGAUGUUAUCUAAAUGCACCUAGAGCAGAACAGAGUACAUGGCAUGUGAAUGAGCCUGAAGGAUGCUGGAGGGCUCAGAUGUUCAGCUCAGGUAUAUCUCAGUGUGGGUUGUGUCUUCAGCCUGGUUAGAAGAGCUGACCAGCCCAGCAGCACGGUGCAUACCCUACGCAUCUCAAGAAUGAUGUUACACAGUGUUGCUUUGCUUGCUGAUCUUGUGGAUAAACUUUUUUUCUGAACAAUGCAGGUAGUAGCUUUGUAGGGAAAACUGACCCCUGUCGUCGUGUGUCCCCCCCGCCCAUAGACAAAUCUAGAUUCACUGUAAAACCCAUGCAUUUUCUUGGCCCUGCAGCAUCUGUCAAAGAGCUGCUUCAGCACCGUAGCGCUUGGGAACUGUAACUUAACUUCCACCCUGAAACUCUUUGGCUUGUUCUGGUAUAUUCUUGUGCUAAUGCCAAUUUUCUGUCUAAGUAGGCUUCUUUGCUUCGUUGUGCUUUCUUCCCUGCCAUAUUUCUACAGGGAAAGCUGAAUGUUUUUGCAUCUUCUUUUGGAAGACUGAAAUUCCCAUCUCCCUGACUCACUCUUCUCUGUGCUUGUUGGGAUGGGAGGGUCUCUGGAGAAUGAGGCACCCUGCUCUACCAGUGUCCCUGGAGAGCGUCAGUGACACUUCCCCAACUCCGUUGGCUAUAUCUGGCCGGAUAUACCCUGGGGUCACACUUGGCUUUUCCACUGCCACAGGAUGCUGGGGUCCUGUAGGCACUCUGGUAAUAGCACAUCCCAGUUUUGUGUGUCUGUUUUUGUCAGCUAAGGGGCCUUUCUUAACAUGGACUUUCUUAAACUACUCUUACAUCUGUGACUCCUGAGAUCUUCAUCGUGUUUCCACAGGAUUUCCACUUCUCCUGAAUGCCUCUCAACCUCAAAUCUUCAGCAAACUGAAUUUGUAUCUACCCAUAUUUCUCCCUCCUUUGAAGAAAUACCUUUCCAUUUCUCUUUACACUCAGAUAAACAUUUGUUGCUUCAUUCCACUUGGACUCCUUUGCUUUGGCGAACCUAGAGUCUCUCCGUGAGGCUGGUUAAUGUGAUGUGCAAGUGAAAAGAAGUGUCCUUGCUUGGCCAUCUCUACAAGGACUUGCCUGCCUGAGCUCUGCAAUUAUGUGAUUUUAAUUGGCUUUUAAUUUGGGAAGAUUAUAUAAUAUACUUAAAUGAAAACCACAGAGGUGUUGUUAAUAUGUAGGUUAGAAAUUGCAAACAAAAUGAUAAGUGACUGAAUUGCUUCUGAGCUCAUACAGGCAAAUUCACAUUUACUUUCCCAUGUACUUAAUGUAAAAUAUACCAGAAAGUCCAUAAUUAGAAAAUUACAAGGAUUUAAAACCUAUAUUGCAAAAAUACAUUUCUGUGGCUCUGGAGGUUGCAAACAUGCUUUCCAUGUAGAGCUGUAUGUUGCAUUUAUGCUGAUUUAAUCAUUCAUUAAACAUUAGUA